This 608-nucleotide ribosomal RNA is filed under the name Phomopsis sp. D2S. Its description in RNAcentral is "eukaryotic LSU rRNA". The stretch from base 232 to 385 matches the Rfam family "5.8S ribosomal RNA". The record is from RNAcentral. Lineage: Eukaryota; Fungi; Ascomycota; Sordariomycetes; Diaporthales; Diaporthaceae.
UGAGGAAGUAAAAGUCGUAACAAGGUCUCCGUUGGUGAACCAGCGGAGGGAUCAUUGCUGGAACGCGCCCCAGGCGCACCCAGAAACCCUUUGUGAACUUAUACCUUACUGUUGCCUCGGCGCAUGCCGGCCCCCAGGGGCCCCUCGGAGACGAGGAGCAGGCACGCCGGCGGCCAACCUAACUCUUGUUUUUACACUGAAACUCUGAGAAAAAAAAACAAAAUGAAUCAAAACUUUCAACAACGGAUCUCUUGGUUCUGGCAUCGAUGAAGAACGCAGCGAAAUGCGAUAAGUAAUGUGAAUUGCAGAAUUCAGUGAAUCAUCGAAUCUUUGAACGCACAUUGCGCCCUCCGGUAUUCCGGAGGGCAUGCCUGUUCGAGCGUCAUUUCAACCCUCAAGCACUGCUUGGUGUUGGGGCACUGCUCCUCUCGCGGGGAGCAGGCCCUGAAAUCCAGUGGCGAGCUCGCCAGGACCCCGAGCGCAGUAGUUAAACCCUCGCUCUGGAAGGCCCUGGCGGUGCCCUGCCGUUAAACCCCCAACUCUUGAAAAUUUGACCUCGGAUCAGGUAGGAAUACCCGCUGAACUUAAGCAUAUCAAUAAGCGGAGGA